UUGGAGGGCAAGUCUGGUGCCAGCAGCCGCGGUAAUUCCAGCUCCAAUAGCGUAUAUUAAAGUUGUUGCAGUUAAAAAGCUCGUAGUUGAACCUCGGGAUCAAUGGAUCGGUCAUGCCAAUGGUAUGUACUGGUCAUAUUGGUUCUCACCUUCUAAGGAACCAUGAUGUCAUUCAUUUGAUGUUGUGGGGAAUUAGGACUGUUACCUUGAAAAAAUUAGAGUGUUUAAAGCAGGCUAACGCUUGAAUACAUUAGCAUGGAAUAAUGAAAUAGGACAUCGCAUUCUAUUUUGUUGGUUUCUAGGAUCGAUGUAAUGAUUAAUAGGGAUAGUUGGGGGCAUUAGUAUUCAAUUGUCAGAGGUGAAAUUCUUGGAUUUAUUGAAGACUAACUACUGCGAAAGCAUUUGCCAAGGAUGUUUUCAUUAAUCAAGAACGAAAGUUAGGGGAUCGAAGACGAUCAGAUACCGUCGUAGUCUUAACCAUAAACUAUGCCGACUAGGGAUCGGAUGAUGUUGAUUUUUUAAUGACUCAUUCGGCGCCUUACGGGAAAC
This 549-nucleotide ribosomal RNA is filed under the name uncultured Glomus. RNAcentral describes it as "SSU rRNA". It matches the Rfam family "Eukaryotic small subunit ribosomal RNA", at positions 548 to 1098 of the family's 1831-position model. Lineage: Eukaryota; Fungi; Glomeromycota; Glomeromycetes; Glomerales; Glomeraceae. The record is from RNAcentral.